Non-coding RNA from Pelobates cultripes (western spadefoot toad), 76 nucleotides. The record is from the annotation of a GenBank genome assembly. NCBI's taxonomy places the organism in Eukaryota, Metazoa, Chordata, Amphibia, Anura, Pelobatidae.
CAUGAUUAGUUUUGCAGGUUUGCAUCCAGUUAUCUCUAUACUCUGCUGUGCAAAUCCAUGCAAAACUGAUCAUGGC